RNAcentral lists this ribosomal RNA (303 nucleotides) under uncultured bacterium. Its description in RNAcentral is "partial 16S ribosomal RNA". It matches the Rfam family "Bacterial small subunit ribosomal RNA", at positions 507 to 807 of the family's 1533-position model. The record is from RNAcentral.
AGCAGUAGCCACGGGAAUACGUAUGUCGCGAGCGUUAUCCGGAAUUAUUGGGCAUAAAGGGCAUCUAGGCGGCCGGAUAAGUCUGGGGUGAAAACUUGCGGCUCAACCGCAAGCCUGCCCUGGAAACUAUGCGGCUAGAGUACUGGAGAGGUGGACGGAACUGCACGAGUAGAGGUGAAAUUCGUAGAUAUGUGCAGGAAUGCCGAUGAUGAAGAUAGUUCACUGGACGGUAACUGACGCUGAAGUGCGAAAGCUAGGGGAGCAAACAGGAUUAGAUACCCGCGUAGUCCCUGUCUCUUAUAC